Long non-coding RNA from Pseudophryne corroboree (corroboree frog), 1035 nucleotides. RefSeq lists it as uncharacterized. The record is from RefSeq and is a predicted model, not a curated record. The transcript has 3 exons. NCBI's taxonomy places the organism in Eukaryota, Metazoa, Chordata, Amphibia, Anura, Myobatrachidae.
CUGCUAAAGACAUUCUGCCUGGCUGCCAAUUAUUGUGUCUGCAGGAAAAGAGAAUGAUUGGAAUCUAGAAAGAGUAAUGAUUAGAAAAAAAUCAAGUGGUCAGUUUACUUCCUGCUAACAUGUAUGUGUGGCUCCAUCAACAUUUCCCUCCUCCAAUACCAAAAAAAAUGGUAAAGAAUAAAUGUGCGUACAAAUUUUGUUUUUGUUUGUAGCACUUAUAAUUAAUGAUGUUGAAAAAAGUGUCAAGGAGCUAAGUGUUAUAUAUUUUUCGCCAAAAGUACACUUACUAACUAUUUUGCGUUACUUAUCCCAAAUGUCUAACUUGUAUUUUUUUCACAUUUUUUUGGGUGGCUGCUUGCUCUGCCCUUUGCCUUUAGCACUGUCACGUUGUCGUGCUCUGGUGGAGCGUCUUGGUGGUGAUGAGACUGGCGUGAUAUUUGGAGUAGUCGUACCAGAACUGCUGCUUGUUUGCUGUUGGUGCAUGCAUCUGAGUGUUUCAUUCAGCAUCUUACACACAAUGUCAUACUGUAUGGCUCAAGUGGACAUACAUAUCUUUACUGGAUGUGGACAAGGACAUUUAGCUUGGAUUACAUUUCAGCUUUUACUUACUGCGUUUGAUACUCACAAUCAAGAUGAGGGGAGUGUGGAUGACGUCUUGGACGUGUGUCCAAAAUUUGGAGUGGUAGGACAGAACAUACGGACGAUAAUCUUCGUGGCGGGGUAGCCUGCUGUGUUUGGGCCGGGACAUACGACCUUGCUUUCUUUUCGGCCACAGGUUUUUUGUGGUGAUGUCUUUCAGAAUUGCCACUUCUGCUGCUCCAUACUUCUUUUGAUGGACCUUUUAAUGAAAGUGCAAUUUUGUUAUGGCCAUUCCUUUACAAGCAUACCCUAUACUACAAUGGACACUUUACCUGCUUCCGCAGCGUCAUCAUCAGAUGUGAUAGGAGUUACUGGCCGACGAGUAGUACUGCUUUUUUCAAACACUGUAUAAAAUAAAAAUAAAAAAAAAUUUAAUCAUGCUAUUGUGUAUACAUC